RNAcentral lists this long non-coding RNA (683 nucleotides) under Struthio camelus australis. RNAcentral's name for it is "lncRNA (ENSSCUG00000008755.1)". Lineage: Eukaryota; Metazoa; Chordata; Aves; Struthioniformes; Struthionidae. The record is from RNAcentral.
CAAAUGCAAACCUCCAAAUAUUUCUUCAGCUUCUCCUAACCAGGUGUUGCCAUGGUAUCUGGUCUGGCAGGGAAAAAAAAGCAUAGUCUGUUCCUGACAGCUGUGUUGAGUGCCAUACUUGGUCAGAGUCCAAGAUACAGGCAAAUGAAGUAUGCAGGUAAGUAGGUGCGAACCGACUCCCAAGUAAAGCUGUAGAAUUUUUCUGCCACAAAAUUAAAGAAACCUGAAUUGUGCUAAUUUUCAAGUUCAUUGAACUGAUGAAAUAUUUUCAUUUCAUUGGAAAAAUAAAGAUGAAAUUAACCUACAGCAGAAAGAAAGAAGUGAUAUCUUUUAACUCCAUCACACAUUGUUUGCAGACAGCUUUCACAAAAUAAUCAGACACAACAUAUAAGCAUAUUUAGAUGAAGAGCAGAUGCAUAUAUAGAAGUUCCGGACUUCUGCUGUGUUAUUCCCAAGAAAAAUAGAUCCUUCCUGUUCCUCUGAAGGCCAGCUGGCCUAACACAAAGCCCUUUGCGCUCUGUCUCCUUGCUCUUCAGUCCCUAAUGAGUGACAGUGUGAUCCCUCUGCAAAACCCAGGCAAGUAUGAAUUUUGAACCAGCUGAGCCAGUGUUUGAGCUUAUCUGAGCCCUGGGACUGCUGUGUGAAUAGCCAGCCAGGCCUGUAGGUACCAUAGCUACCAGCAG